This is a long non-coding RNA of Oryza sativa Japonica Group (Japanese rice), 1019 nucleotides long. RefSeq lists it as uncharacterized. Lineage: Eukaryota; Viridiplantae; Streptophyta; Magnoliopsida; Poales; Poaceae. The record is from RefSeq and is a predicted model, not a curated record.
AAUGUAUAUCACGUUCCCAAAAUAUAGGCUCUGAGAGGCAGUGGCCGUGGGCACAUCUGGGCUUUUUAUCGAGGGCGCCAGCGCCGCCUCGGACCGCCGCCUCCGUUGCCGGCGCGUCGGAGGCUCGGACCCCCGCCUCCGGUGCUGGUGCCUCACACCCCUGCCUCCGCUGCCGCCGCCUCGCACCCCCGCCUUCGCUGCCGCUGCGAGCCACGCGGUUGCUCGUCUGGGCGCAUCGAGGGCGCCGGCGCCGCCUCGGACCGCCGCCUCCGGUGCCGGCGCCUCGGACCCCCGCCUCCGCUGCCGCUGCGAGCCGCGCGGUUGCUCGUGACAGCGGUGCGCCUCCAACUGUCGCCUCCGCUGCCACUGCGGAGCUGCAAGGCGCCGCCACCGGCGACCAAGCAGCGAGCAGCCACCGGUGAUUGGCAGCGACUCUUCCAAUCCAUCACCGGCCUCAGCCACCGCCUACCUCGGCACAAAACUGGGGAUGGACAGAAGUUGGAUCAAUAGUAGGCUAUUUAGCAAGCCGCAUCUUGAUGGGGUCAAUGAGUUCAUGAAAUUUGUUUUAGAAAGAUUUGAUGAGAAUGCAGAGAUACUUUGUCCAUGUCGAUGGUGUUUGAAUCGGAUUCAUCGACAGAAAGGACAUGUGGAGGAUCACUUAUAUAUUUAUGGGAUAGCCAGCACUUACACUAGAUGGAUAUACCAUGGAGAACAAUCCGAUGCCGGAAUUAAUGAAAAUGAAGACCAUCUGGAUGAACAUACUAGUUUUAGUGAGGAUGUUGGUAUAAAUGAGGAUGAAGAAGAGAACCCUCCCGACAGAAUUCCUGACAUGGUAGAUGAGUUGUACAUAGCAGAAGGUCAAGAUGGAGGGAAGUCUAUGUUUGCAGCUAUAUUAGAUGAGAUGAAGCAGUAACUUUACCCUGGUGUAGAUUGUACAAGAUUUUCUUUUGUGGUGAAGUUACUUCAUAUCAAGUCAUUUUAUCCAAUCAGCAAUGCUUGGGCCUAUUGGGCCUUUUCAA